CUCCAUGAAUCUUUGAGUCCUGUUGACUGUGGCAAAUAUCCUUCCUAGACACAGAAGAGCAUAUUCUUGUAUACUGACAUAGCUGCCAUCAGUUAAUUGAUUUCAGUUCUAACUUUCACAAGUAACAUUU
Molecule: non-coding RNA, 130 nt
Organism: Erinaceus europaeus (western European hedgehog)
Lineage: Eukaryota; Metazoa; Chordata; Mammalia; Eulipotyphla; Erinaceidae
Source: Rfam